AAGAGUAUUUUUCUACUCCCAAACCCAUGUGAACCAUACCAUUGUUGCUUCGGCGGGUUUUCGCCCCAGGCGCUGUCGCGGCGACCUGGAACUAGGCGCCCGCCGGAGGACCCAAACUCUUGUCUUGCGAGUGGCAUUCUGAGUGGAUCAUACAAAUGAAUCA
Molecule: unclassified non-coding RNA, 163 nt
Filed under: uncultured Ascomycota
Lineage: Eukaryota; Fungi; Ascomycota
Description: sequence contains ITS1
Source: RNAcentral